Molecule: ribozyme, 77 nt
Filed under: Crocodylus porosus (Australian saltwater crocodile)
Lineage: Eukaryota; Metazoa; Chordata; Crocodylia; Crocodylidae
Description: Mammalian CPEB3 ribozyme (ENSCPRG00005006513.1)
Rfam family: Mammalian CPEB3 ribozyme
About the family: The mammalian CPEB3 ribozyme is a self cleaving RNA located in the second intron of the CPEB3 gene which belongs to a family of genes regulating messenger RNA polyadenylation. This ribozyme is highly conserved and found only in mammals.
Source: Rfam by way of RNAcentral
GGUUGGAAGUUUGAGGCCAUAGCAGAAACGCUCAUGGGGCAGCUCUGUCAGAUUCCAGUGAAUCUGUGAAUUCUGCU